CCCGCUGAACUUAAGCAUAUCAAUAAGCGGAGGAAAAGAAACUAACAAGGAUUCCCCUAGUAACGGCGAGUGAACCGGGAAGAGCUCAAAUUUGAAAUCUGGCAGUCUUCGAUUGUCCGAGUUGUAAUCUAUAGAAGCGUUUUCCGUGCUGAACUGUGUAUAAGUCCCUUGGAACAGGGUAUCAAAGAGGGUGACAAUCCCGUACUUUACACAAUCAUCAGUGCUCUGUGAUACGUUCUCUACGAGUCGAGUUGUUUGGGAAUGCAGCUCAAAAUGGGUGGUAAAUUCCAUCUAAAGCUAAAUAUUGGCGAGAGACCGAUAGCGAACAAGUACCGUGAGGGAAAGAUGAAAAGCACUUUGGAAAGAGAGUUAAACAGUACGUGAAAUUGUUGAAAGGGAAACGAACGCUACGUAUCAUGUUUAUUGGACUCAGCCGAUCUUCGGUGUACUUCCUUUAAACGGGUCAACAUCAGUUUUGUCCGAUGGAUAAAGGUAGUAGGAAGGUGGCUCUCUCGGGAGUGUUAUAGCCUAUUGCCGCAUACAUUGGAUGAGACUGAGGACUGCAGCUUGCCUUUAUGGCCGGGGUUCGCCCACGUUCAAGCUUAGGAUGUUGACAUAUACUCGAGCGCACGCCCCGUCUUGAAACACGG
Molecule: ribosomal RNA, 650 nt
Filed under: uncultured fungus
Lineage: Eukaryota; Fungi
Description: eukaryotic LSU rRNA
Rfam family: Eukaryotic large subunit ribosomal RNA
Source: RNAcentral